GGAUUGUAGGCUGCAACUCGCCUACAUGAAGUCGGAAUCGCUAGUAAUCGCGGAUCAGCAUGCCGCGGUGAAUACGUUCCCAGGCCUUGUACACACCGCCCGUCACACCAUGAGAGUUUGUAACACCCAAAGCCGGUGGGGUAACCUUUUGGAGCCAGCCGUCUAAGGUGGGACAGAUGAUUGGGGUGAAGUCGUAACAAGGUAUC
Molecule: ribosomal RNA, 206 nt
Filed under: uncultured bacterium
Lineage: Bacteria
Description: partial 16S ribosomal RNA
Rfam family: Bacterial small subunit ribosomal RNA
Source: RNAcentral